AUACGGAGGGAGCUAGCGUUGUUCGGAAUUACUGGGCGUAAAGGGCGCGUAGGCGGCCGAUCCAGUCAGGCGUGAAAGCCCCGGGCUCAACCUGGGAAUUGCGUUUGAUACUGAUUGGCUGGAGUCCGGGAGAGGGUAGUGGAAUUCCCAGUGUAGAGGUGAAAUUCGUAGAUAUUGGGAAGAACACCGGUGGCGAAGGCGGCUACCUGGCCCGGUACUGACGCUGAGGCGCGAAAGCGUGGGGAGCAAACAGGAUUAGAAACCCCGGUAGUCC
This 274-nucleotide ribosomal RNA is filed under the name uncultured bacterium. RNAcentral's name for it is "partial 16S ribosomal RNA". It matches the Rfam family "Bacterial small subunit ribosomal RNA", at positions 523 to 796 of the family's 1533-position model. The record is from RNAcentral.